UCAGUUGAUAUGGAGUCUCAUGA
Molecule: non-coding RNA, 23 nt
Filed under: Arabidopsis thaliana (thale cress)
Lineage: Eukaryota; Viridiplantae; Streptophyta; Magnoliopsida; Brassicales; Brassicaceae
Source: RNAcentral